AUAGCAAGGCAAUGCAAGCUUUUAGGUAUAGAUUUUGCAGCAAUCAAACUCGAGAAAGCCCCUUGCUUUUUCGCUUUAGUUAAUUGCUCAUUAACGGCAAAAAUUGUAUCCUUCAACUUCUGAAUUUUCAGCUGAUUGUCAAAACUUUCUUUUGCCUCGGCAAUUACUUGGCGAGUGACUUUGAUUCGCUCUUUCACUUCCUUCUCGAAUUGGCGUAGCGUGGAUUCUUCAAUAGAAANGCGAAUCCAACUCGAACAGAGCCCGAUACGCAGGCUUGUUAAGAAGAUCGGUAUAGUUUCGCGAGAGAUCAGCAAAAACCCUAACAACCUUUGAGUUCUCGAGCUUGAGCUUCCGUGCAUAGGAUGCAUAUGCGAGAGCGAGAGAUCGGUGGUCGUCGGCUUGUUUUCGGAUAUGGUCCAAACGGGGCUUCAGUGGAUCCGAUUUCAUUGCGAGUACGGAUCUUCUCCCGGAUCCAAAUCUAUAAGGUACGUUGCUGAAGCCAAAGUGGUGGAGGUCAGAGGAAGAGUGAGAGUGUGAAGUGAACAGAAAAGAGACAGCGAAGAAGAGAAACACCGCAAUCGUAACCGCGGAGGCCAAUAGUCUNAAACUCCGUAUCAAUCCACUUCGCGAGUUUCGAUGAUUCGCCAUUGUUACCGUUUGAUUGAUUUGAUUAGCGAUAGAGGAGAAGAGGAUAGAAAGGUCACACAGCG
Molecule: unclassified non-coding RNA, 710 nt
Filed under: Hevea brasiliensis (rubber tree)
Lineage: Eukaryota; Viridiplantae; Streptophyta; Magnoliopsida; Malpighiales; Euphorbiaceae
Source: RNAcentral